RNAcentral lists this ribosomal RNA (1134 nucleotides) under Triticum aestivum (bread wheat). RNAcentral's name for it is "partial small subunit ribosomal RNA". The record is from RNAcentral. Lineage: Eukaryota; Viridiplantae; Streptophyta; Magnoliopsida; Poales; Poaceae.
AUGGCCAAAGAUAAAUUUAAUUCCGGUCCGCGGUCCCUGAUUCAUCUUAUCCAAAACUCCUCCCUUUCCAGCGACGGCAGCGAUGGCGGAGCACGAGCAGGUGAGGGCGGCGCCUUCGUCGGACGGCUAGCCGCGGCGGAGGAGAAGGCGGACGCCAUGGGUGCGGCUACAGACGAGGCGGAGGAGAAGGCGGACGCCGUGGGCUUGCUGCACGGCUACAGCCGAGGCGGAGGAGAAGGCGGACGCCGUGGGUGUUCAUGGAGGAUGGUACGCCGGCCGCGUCAAGUCCCCUGCCCCCGGCCGCCAGCGCCUGUUCUCGGCCUCCAUCGCCCGGAGGCGUGCCCCUGCUGUCGGCCUUCGCGUCUGCUUCGUCUGCAUCACGCCAGCGCCGCCCUCGUCGUCGCGGCGUUCUUCUGCUUCCGGCGUUGCCCCGUCGCCCAUGCGCCGAGUUCUGCUGCGGCCUCUGUUCUUCCGCAACGAGUAGCAGCAGGUCGUCUGCGGUUGCGGCAGCGGUGUAGGCGAGCGAGGCAGAGGAGCGGUCAACACCGGCGUCGAGGGCAAGGUAGGCCGGGCGCAGUGUCCUCCGGCAUGUGGUGGCGCAUUUGUACGGCGCAGGAGGCUGGGCGCGUCGAUUCGGGUGAGGGGAGUGGGGUCCAGAUCUGGUCGAGGACGGGGCAACCGGCGGCGGCGGCGUGGCUGACGCUGGAUGGAGAGAGAGGCAGAGCAAGGCACGCCGAAUCGCUGGAUGGCGCACCUCCCCUAGCCUCCUUCCUCUCCCGGUCGUUGGGGAAGCAGGACGGCCACCUCUGCUGGACGCCCUUCCCUGGUCGACGACGAGCGAUGCGGGCUGACACGGUGGCGCCCUUCCGUUGUGGAGUACCUCAUUUCAUCCAAUCUGGCUGGUCCGCUCCCCACCUCGGCGGCUCCUUCAGUCCGGCAGCACACCACGCUCAAGCCUCCACCACCCCAACUCCUCAAGGCUUUUCUUUGGUGUAUCAGGCAUUCAGGCUGAACGAGGACGGAUCCAAGGUUGAGUACUGGGUGUGGAACCCCUUCAGAUCCAAGUUGGCUGCUGUUGUACUCUGUGGUGUGGACAACAUCUGGAUUUUUAGUAUAUUCCCGUUGGUUCUGUAG